GGCGGCAUGCCUAACACAUGCAAGUCGAACGGGGCGCUUCGGCGCCUAGUGGCGGACGGGUGAGUAAAGCGUAGGAAUCUGCCUUGUCGUGGGGGACAACCUGGGGAAACUCAGGCUAAUACCGCAUACGCUCGCGAGAGGAAAGCGGGGGAUCUUCGGACCUCGCGCCGCAAGAAGAGCCUACGUCCGAUUAGCUAGUUGGUAGGGUAAAAGCCUACCAAGGCGACGAUCGGUAGCUGGUCUGAGAGGAUGAUCAGCCACACUGGGACUGAGACACGGCCCAGACUCCUACGGGAGGCAGCAGUGGGGAAUAUUGGACAAUGGGCGCAAGCCUGAUCCAGCAAUGCCGCGUGGGUGAAGAAGGCCUGCGGGUUGUAAAGCCCUUUAAGUGGGGAGGAACGGUGGGAUGCGAACAGUGUCCUGCUCUGACGUUACCCACAGAAUAAGCACCGGCUAACUCCGUGCCAGCAGCCGCGGUAAUACGGGGGGUGCAAGCGUUAAUCGGAAUUACUGGGCGUAAAGCG
Molecule: ribosomal RNA, 524 nt
Filed under: uncultured bacterium
Lineage: Bacteria
Description: bacterial SSU rRNA
Rfam family: Bacterial small subunit ribosomal RNA
Source: RNAcentral